Molecule: ribosomal RNA, 43 nt
Filed under: uncultured Glomus
Lineage: Eukaryota; Fungi; Glomeromycota; Glomeromycetes; Glomerales; Glomeraceae
Description: partial 28S ribosomal RNA
Source: RNAcentral
GUAAGAACACCCGCUGAACUUAAGCAUAUCAAUAAGCGGAGGA